Molecule: transfer RNA, 72 nt
Organism: Ipomoea nil (Japanese morning glory)
Lineage: Eukaryota; Viridiplantae; Streptophyta; Magnoliopsida; Solanales; Convolvulaceae
Rfam family: tRNA
About the family: Transfer RNA (tRNA) molecules are approximately 80 nucleotides in length. Their secondary structure includes four short double-helical elements and three loops (D, anti-codon, and T loops).
Source: Rfam
GCUUCCAUAGCAUAGUGGUAGUGUGCUUGCUUCGUAAGUAAAAGGUUGCGAGUUUGAUCCUCGUUGGGAGCU